AUACCUCUUAAAGUCUGCCAUAAAAUCCAUUUUUCACUGUACAUUUUUUAAGAUUAUUAUUAUCGAAAAAAAAAAAUUCCCGUUCCCUGUCCCGGAGCAAAACAGAGUGAGAGAUUCACUGCGUCUCUCUCUCUCUCUCUACCAACAAAUGGCUUUCACUUCAUUAGUUCAUUUCUCGGACGAGUUCUCUUUUCCUCUGUUUUCAUACUCCCCGCAUGCAAUACCCUACUUCUUUCUAUCUCUGUUUGCAUUUUUUGCUUGAAUGGAUCUGCUUCUCCUUCUUUUCCUAUACUUGUUUUUUGGAUUUUAUCAGUUCGAUACUAACCCAUGGUUUACUUGUUUGAAUUAUUAAUACUUUUGUCUUAUUUAAUUAAUUAUCUAAAUAAAUGUAGAGAUGUUAAUUUUUAAUUGAUUGAUUAACAACUUAUUUACAUUUUUUAUUGUUUUAAUAGCAAGUUGAAUAAUAAUAAUAAUAAUAAUAAUAAUAGUUUUUAAGUUUGUAUUGGAGUAAUUUUGCUUCCCUAGUUGGAUAAAGCAUAAUCAAGAGUAGGAAAGUUGUAUGAUCUUGGUUUGGUUAGCAAAUGCGUUGAAAAAUAAUAUUAGUGCUGCCGAAAUCGUCUCUAGAAUGGAAUUGAGGCUUUCUAUGGAUGUGAAAAUAGGCCGUGCAUUUCCACUAUCCUCUGAUUUUCUUGAGUGGGUCGACAGAAUUAUGCUUCACUAAUUUUGUUUAGAAAUUGUGUUAGAGCCCACCUGCUUUUUUUUGGAGAUGCCGUAUAAGUUGCGUAUUAACAAGAUUUGUUGAUUUGGUUUAGCACUGAGUUUCUGAUAAGAAUCUUAUCCUUUUCUUUUAUGAUGUGAUGGUUGAGACAUUGAAUUUCAGCUAUGUAUUGUUUGAAAACCAGCAUUAAGCUUUUGAUUCCUUGAAUGUGGCCUUGUAAUCUUUAUUUUGUUUGGAAAUAAUAAUAAUAAUAAUAAUAAUAAUAAUAAUAAUAAUAAUAAUAAGGCAUUUCAUGUUGUUGAACCAGUUUUUAUCUUUUGUUUUUUGUUUGUAUAAUGAUGACCGCCUCAUUUGUUGGUUAAAGUUCUUUGGAUAGUAUUUUGUCAUAAUCUCUUCCUUAAUUUCAGGUUUAAUGAACUUUGGGUUGCCGGGGGCCCAGCAGCGAACGCAUUGAAACCAAAGUUUGGUGUGUUUGCCAGUCGUGAGCAGUCUCAUGCUGGCAUACAAGUACCGGAAAUUGAAAUGAGGAUCUCAGCCAUAGAAAAAUUUGAGAGAGAUUGUAGGCUUAUUAGAAAAAUAAAACCAAAAUUGUGGGAGGUUGAUACUUAUCUUGAACUCAGGUGUGUAGUGAUUGCUUUUUUUCCUCUUUUUUUGUAAUGGCAAUGGGGCAGCUGGCAUCUAGGAUUUCUAGGUGGAAUAUCAUGGGCAUGCUGCUUGGUGACGAAGGGCCUUUCUCACUUUGUCACACAACACACAAUAUGACAAACCCUGGUUAUGAGAACAUGGAAACUUUGCUUGGUAUAACUGUCGGUGUUAUUUUAAGGAAGAUUGAAAUCACAGCUGUAAAGAGUCAGCUGUCAUACUGGAUUCUUAUUUCUUAGCAUGCCUCUUGUGUAUUUCCAUGCACACAUUGCAAACAGGUUUAGUGAUUAGAAGACAGUGACUAAAUGACUUAAAUUAAAUGGUGACCCGUUCAAUUCUUAGGACUGUUUUGCAUUAUUUGAGAGGGUAUCCAUUUUGGCACUCUGGAAAAUCUUUAUAUACUGGACAACUGAUGAAUGGGACUUGUAUGGGCAACAUGUGCAACCGUGAAUAGAUAUACACCAACAAUUAAUGAUUUUGACUCAUAACCAGAAUGUUUCACACUCCCAGUUGUCUUUUUUCACAUAUUGUUCUGUAAUUUUAGCCGGUAUAUGUAUGCGCAGAUCAAACAUUUAUCCACUGCUGCGAUAUUUCUUGAGGGCAUUGGCGGCAUCCUAUUUAUCUUUGGCAGUUCUCUUGGAGCCUACCUACUGUUGGUGCAAGAAAUAGUAUUUGACUUUUGGUCAUCUAAAGGGUAUAGCUAUGAGCAGUGGUGUAUCAUGUACUCAUUUAAUGAAUAUCAAGGUCCUUUCUUGUUGCAGAUUAUACAUCAGUUGAUUGCUUUUCCAAUCCUAUAUGAUUUCUAAAACUAUGACAGCAAGGAGAAAUAAUUUAAUCAACUUUUUAUCAAAUUCACACUGGUUAGAUUCAGCUGAUUCUGUACAAUGUUUCUGUUCUGUAUGAUAGUAACUAUUGUUUUGCUUUCUGCAUGGUUUUGACAAAUUUCUAAAUUCUUUUCCAUUCUUUCAAUGUAUAAUAUUGCUCUUUAUGGAGCACUGCUAUUUUUCAUAGGUAUGAAGAACUCACUUCCCAGGAGACAGCACAAGUAGAAGGUUCCUAAAACUAUAACUGGUUAGGAACAAAUGGCUAUCAGUUGGUAGGUAUCUCAUUUCAGUAAGGAGCUAAUUGGAGUUUUUUUUCUUUUUGGUUCAUGAAACAUUAUGUACUUUACCAAGACCCAACGUAUAUGGUUAAAAGGCUUUUUAUCUAUUUAUUUUUAUUAAAAAAAAACUUGUUUUUUUUCUCCCCUGUAUUUCAUGGGGAUAUAUUAUUUUUCUUCCGUGAUAUUUGGAUUUGUUCUUGUACUGUAUUGAAGAAGGUUAUGGGACCAGUGGAUGUUGAUGAGGCCGAACAUGCAUGUUUUAGAACGUGGCAGUGCUGGUCCCUAUGUGACAUGUUAAUAAUUUCAGCUAUUUAACUUAAGAAAUGGCACAAGAUAUUGUCAAAGCCAUAUGAAUGGGACUUCACUUUCUACGUUUAUGAAUUUCUCCAUCAUUUUAUUUGAAUGUUUAUUUAGUGGCUUCCAAAGGUUUAUUGUUGUGACUUCAUGGUUUGGUUUUAAUCUUUUUGUGAAACUUGAAAGAAUAGCUUGCUCUGUCGAAAAGGUUAGUAGUUUUGAGUCUAAGAAGUUAGUAGUUUUGAGUUUAAGAUGUUUGGCUACAAUCAACCCUCUAAGGUCACAGUUGUUUUUGGAUACAUAUCUGUUGUUAGAUCCUCUGGAAUCCUUUACAGACCGGCAUAUCAUGGUCAGAUCGCUUCAGGAACUUUGGGUGAUUACCACUCGUUGUGGUCUGCAAUUUCUUGGUAUUUGGUUUCGAAAUUCAUUGAUUGUUGUGUCAGUUUGACAAGCAGUGGUCAAUUUGCUAAAAGGAUCUGUACUGUAUUGCUCAUUGGUUGCUGUUAAGAGAUUUUUCCCCUGUUGUCCUGUGGUAGGCAAGUAUACUGACGUUUGUGAGUUUGCCUCUUUGAUAGUGAAGGAGCCUUUUUUUUUGUUUUCAUUUUACCUGUUUUGUUGUUGUCAUUGCCCUUUUAAUUGUUGUUUUUAUUCCGAGCUGGUCCAUCUGGAUCCAUAUAGGUUCUACGGGGAUCUUUUGAUAUUUUGUCCCCUAAACAUAAUGAUCUCCCAGUAACUGAAAGAAGCGAUUUCCUGUUUCUUAUAUAUCUUCUCUCAUGUUUGUCAGCUUGUCGAAAUCUAUACUAAUAAUGCCUUGCAUUUACCAGCUGCUAUUUUCCCCCACUAAUCUGCAUCUGAUGAAUGUCAACUCUUUGUAAUAUAUCACAGCUGAUUUUCACCAAUAUUUUCCAGCAAAUGAAUGCCAUCUUGCAACAAUCAUCUUCGACAUUGCGAAAUAUUUGUGCCUUUUCUGUAUACAUAUCUUGCCAGAGCUCAUCAAAAUCUUGUCUGACUUUUAUUGGGAUUUGCUGCAAUAAUUUAGCAAUAUUAUAAUGGAAAAGGCUUGUUCAGGUAGCUUUUUAUGGCAAGCUGCUUAAUUGACAUGCAAAUCUCUUGUGUAAUCUAACCUGGGAUCUGGAAAAAGAGAUUGAAAACUUGGUUUGUGCGUCACAUGUCAGAUUGGUGCAUCUUAAUACAGGAGCUGCUUACCACUUGUGCCAUUCCAGAGGAAGAGGCGUCUCUCUCAAGCAUUUUGAGGCCAGAAAGUUGAGGGGAAGGACGUGCUCGCUACAGUGUGUUGUGACUUCUCAAGAUCAAAGUUACUUAUUAAUAAUUUGAAGAAAAGACAACUAUUUUUGCCACACUCCUUCCUGUUGCAAGCAAGUGGAAACGCACACGUAAAAAGUAUACAGCAUGCACAAAGCCAGAACACCAUGAAUUACAUGAAAAAUAUCAACCUUUUAUUAACCUCAGUAAAAGAAAUACAACACAAGCCCUCCUCUUGUGCACAUCUUAACCCAAUUUUGGAUGAAAUGUUUUCCUCGACUCGACUCGACAUGAUUUUAUUUUGGACAGUGGAUGAUGAGGUCUUGAAGAUAGGGAUGGUAAGUCAAUGGCUAAGAUGGGUUAGAGACAUGAUUAUUAUUAAAAAAAAUUAUCAGUGAAAACUAAGGUUCUUUGAUCAA
Molecule: long non-coding RNA, 4438 nt
Organism: Populus nigra (black poplar)
Lineage: Eukaryota; Viridiplantae; Streptophyta; Magnoliopsida; Malpighiales; Salicaceae
Exons: 2
Source: RefSeq, a predicted model, not a curated record